GCCCAAGUGGCGAAAUGGUAUACGCACCGUCUUCAGGUGGCGGCGCCGCAAGGUUUGCUGGUUCGACUCCAGUCUUGGGCACAA
RNAcentral lists this transfer RNA (84 nucleotides) under Sphingobacterium spiritivorum ATCC 33300. Its description in RNAcentral is "tRNA-Leu". It matches the Rfam family "tRNA". Rfam says of the family: Transfer RNA (tRNA) molecules are approximately 80 nucleotides in length. Their secondary structure includes four short double-helical elements and three loops (D, anti-codon, and T loops). RNAcentral also lists the same sequence under 1 other name. The record is from RNAcentral. Lineage: Bacteria; Pseudomonadati; Bacteroidota; Sphingobacteriia; Sphingobacteriales; Sphingobacteriaceae.